This is a long non-coding RNA of Astyanax mexicanus (Mexican tetra), 3802 nucleotides long. RefSeq lists it as uncharacterized. NCBI's taxonomy places the organism in Eukaryota, Metazoa, Chordata, Actinopteri, Characiformes, Acestrorhamphidae. The record is from RefSeq and is a predicted model, not a curated record. The transcript is spliced from 2 exons.
UGUGCGUGCGUGUGCGUGCGUGUGCGUGCGUGUGCGUGCGUGUGCGUGCGUGUGCGUGUAUGUGUGUGUGUGUGUGUGUGUGUUAGCGGAGGGUGUAACAGUCCCGAGAUCUGAUUUAUUUUUCUUUUUUUCUUUUGUUUAUUUUGUUUAUUUUGUUUUUCCUACAUAAAAUUCCUGCGUUCAUUAUUUAACACGUUCAGUCCAGUUCAGUCCAAAGCCAGUUCCACCACGUCAUCAAUUCAUCAAUCAAUAUAUUGAUCUAUUAUUAUUAUUUUUGUUUGUUUUAAAUAAAGACGUCUGUUGAAGUACCUUACGUCACAUCAGUCAUCAGUCUUUUACAUUCACACACAAAAACACCAGAUAAUAAAAUACGACAGAGCGAUAUAGAUAUAUUUAUAUAUUAUAUAAAUGUGUGUAUAUACUCAACGACUAUUGUUUCCAGGAUGUAUUAUUAGAGUGCAUGAUGAUUAUGAUGAGAUAUUAUUAUAUAUUGUGGGGUUUAGGGGUUUGGGGUUUAGACGAAACAUCGCCGUUAUUUGAGGAGGGAUGAUGCAAAAACGUCUAUUUUUCCUUUAUUCUUUCUUUGAUUUGUUUUUUGUUUUAUAUUAUUUCCGAGUCUUUUGUUAGCAGAGCUAGGUGAGAUGAUGUGUGCUGUGGUUUGGUACGGUGCACCUUUACCUGCCAAGAUAAAGGUGGAGGUCAGUAAUCGAGACCCUCACAUAACCCUGUGUUCACACUGGUAGGAGGCGAGUUAAAUUUUCUCAAUUUUUUUAAUUAUGCCUGAAUUUUUCCAAAUAUUCAUCAUAUAUAACAAACAGAGCAUCAUCUGCUGCUAAAAUAAGCCUCUCAGUAGAUCAUGCUGCUGCUUCUCCAUCAGCAGCCGGAGUCUGAGAGAGAGAGAGAGAGAGAGAGAGAGUACAGUAGAUCAUGCUGUUUCUCCAUCAGCAGCCGGAGUCUGAGAGAGAGAGAGUACAGUAGAUCAUACUGUUUCUCCAUCAGCAGCCGGAGUCUGAGAGAGAGAGAGAGAGAGAGAGAGAGUACAGUAGAUCAUGCUGUUUCUCCAUCAGCAGCCGGAGUCUGAGAGAGAGAGAGUACAGUAGAUCAUACUGUUUCUCCAUCAGCAGCCGGAGUCUGAGAGAGAGAGAGUACAGUAGAUCAUGCUGCUGUUUCUCCAUCAGCAGCCGGAGUCUGAGAGAGAGAGAGAGAGAGAGAGAGUACAGUAGAUCAUGCUGUUUCUACAUCAGCAGCCGGAGUCCGAGAGACAGAGAGAGAGAGAGAGAGAUAGAGAGAGAGAGAGAGAGAGAGAGUAGAGUAGAUCAUGCUGCUUCUCCAUCAGCAGCCGGAGUCCGAGAGACAGAGAGAGAGAGAGAGAGAGAGAGAGAGAGAGAGAGAGUAGAGUAGAUCAUGCUGUUUCUCCAUCAGCAGCCGGAGUCCGAGAGACAGAGAGAGAGAGAGAGAGAGAGAGAGAGAGAGAGAGAGUAGAGUAGAUCAUGCUGUUUCUCCAUCAGCAGCCGGAGUCUGAGAGAGAGAGAGAGAGAGAGAGAGAGAGAGUACAGUAGAUCAUGCUGCUUCUCCAUCAGCAGCCGGAGUCUGAGAGAGAGAGAGUACAGUAGAUCAUGCUGCUUCUCCAUCAGCAGCCGGAGUCUGAGAGAGAGAGAGUACAGUAGAUCAUGCUGCUUCUCCAUCAGCAGCCGGAGUCCGAGAGAGAGAGAGAGAGAGAGAGAGAGUACAGUAGAUCAUGCUGCUGUUUCUCCAUCAGCAGCCGGAGUCUGAGAGAGAGAGAGUACAGUAGAUCAUGCUGUUUCUCCAUCAGCAGCCGGAGUCUGAGAGAGAGAGAGUACAGUAGAUCAUGCUGCUUCUCCAUCAGCAGCCGGAGUCCGAGAGAGAGAGAGAGAGAGAGAGAGAGUACAGUAGAUCAUGCUGCUGUUUCUCCAUCAGCAGCCGGAGUCUGAGAGAGAGAGAGAGAGAGUACAGUAGAUCAUGCUGCUUCUCCAUCAGCAGCCGGAGUCCGAGAGAGAGAACAUUAGGUCAUGCUGCUUCUCUCUGCCUAGUGAUGCUGUGUGAUGAUCUACUGGUCGCAGUUGGAAAAGAGGCGGAGUCUGACAUCACAUGUAUUGGAGGAGGUGUGCACUGGUCCUGAUACUCCUAGUAUUGGAGGUAUUACUAGUGAUACAUCUGUGUUUUAAAGAGGAUAAAAUACUCCCUAAAUAAUCAAAUACCAGCAAUUAUAGAUUUAUACAAAAUUUAACAACCAAUAUUCUUUACUGCAGGUUUAUUAACCCUGUGCAUCUUUAGACUAUAGCGCCACCAUAUGGUGAAAUAAUAAAGCAGCGACUUGAGUAAGUCUUAUUGUUUAAAUAAAAAAAUUAAAAACGUAAAAAUUCAAUUUUGAUGCAAGGUAUCAUAAUAUAAUAUAUCACAAACAAAAAUCGAACGAUAUAUCGUGAUAUUGAUAAAUUGUUCCACCUCUGGAACAAAAAUCUUGUGUUGCUUGGUUCUCGCUAUCUUUAUAUCGCAAUAUCUGUCAAUCUCUGUCGCCACCUAGUGUGAACGCAGGGUAAGUGGUGGGCGAUUUAUGAAUAUUCAGACUAUUUUUCGCCCCUAAAUUGAUUUAAAUUAAAUUAAAAUUUAAAUAUUGGUAUUGGGACACUUUUUUCAGCUACAUGAGAAAUAAAAAAUAAAAACAGGCUUUUACAGAUUCAGAUUCCACCAAUCAAACCGGAGCAUCGCGUGCCCUCCAUGAAGUGUGUGUGUGUGUGUGUAUUUGUGUGUGUGUGUGUGUGUGUGUGUGAGAUGGUUAACUGGGGAUUAAUUGGUAUCUUCUGGUCUGUUGCUUCAUCUAGUCCUCUGUUCUGAGCCAAUCAGGAGUUCUCGCUCUGUGUGCAACUGCAGUUCAACUGGAAAUUACUAUUAUUGCUAUUAUUAUUGUUAUUAAAAUGACAUUAUUAUCAUUAUUAUUAUCAAUAUUUUAUUAUCAACACAAGUACAUAUGUAUUAACCGUCUUGAGGUGUUUUGCAGUUUCUGUAUUUAUUGUAACUGCUGUUUUUUCUCAUUGAAAACUUGACAUUUUCUUUUUAAUUAUAAAGGUAUGUGUGUGUGUGUGUGUGUGUGUGUGUGUGCACGCGAGAGUGAAUGUGAGUGUUGUUUGAAUGUGUUAGCUCACGCAAAAAAUGACUGUGUGUGUGUGUGUGUGUGUGUUAGAGUUUGGACACUCGUAGCGGACACUUCUCUGAAAGUCGUGACUCUGAAGCCUAAUUUGUGCCUCUUUAUAGAAAUAAAACCAGACCUACGAUUCAUUAAACAAAAUACACAAAAAACUACAAAUCCCACAAUGCUUUGUGUGGCAGAUCCGUGCUUUGCUACCCUCAGGUUCUGGAUGGUGGGGUGGGUGGGUGGAGGGAUAAGUGAGUGUGUGUGAGUGUGUGUGAGUGUGUGUGAGUGUGUGUGAGUGUGUGUGAGUGUGUGUGUGUGUGUGUGUGUGUGUGUGUGUGUGUGUGUGUGUGCUGCUUUGGGUUACUGGUUCUUUUUAUGCAAAAAAAAAAAAAAAAAAGAAAACAAAAAUAAGAAGCUCUGUUUGGUGAAGACAGUGAGAUGAUUUGAUAUAUUUUUUUUUUGGGAUUUAUUAUAAUUAUCCCUCCCAUGGUGUGUGUGGGUGUGUGUGUAUUAAUGUGUGUGUGCGCGCGAGUGUGUGUAUUAAUGUGUGUGUGUUUGAGAGCAGUGUAUAAAGAAUGAAUAAUGAGCUGAUUCCCCUGUAAUUGUUAUACUGUAUGAUUUAAUCCAUAUGAUAAAGGUUCCCCUCUA